AUUCGUAAUAAAGAAAGUACUGUUUGAUUUUCAUGCAAGUUGAUUGGGUUCGAAUCUUGUGCUUGUGUCACAUUUCUGAUGGUCUCACCAACUUUCCUUAGCAUGUUGUACCUGCUACGAGACCGCUCUUUGGCGCAUCCCUUUUGCCCUUAGUGUACGGGUUGGGUCGGCGGUUUAGGUGCGGUAUGGCUCUCGUUGAACCUCUGCUUUUUCCUCUUGUUUCUGUGAAAGGUCACUGUCGCCCGACACGUGUAAGAAAGACGCAUUAAAUGCCAACCUCGUGGAUUUGUAAGGGUAUAGGCAAUCAAAUCAGACUAAGGCAUAUUCCUAUUGUCGAAUGGAGGGAAAUUUGAAUAGUGUUUUCCGCUAAUGAAUUUACUCAUACCUGGCUCGGAUCCCUCGAUACUGGGACCAGGCUGCCGAGAUUGCUUAGAUGGAUGACUCCACUCUCCGGAUACUUGUGCGGGCCACACUUCCUUAUAUCCCGACUUUUCUCGAUUACCGAGAUUAGGUCUAGGACAUUGAGAAGGUGAUCUCUCCUCCUCCUGACCACUCAGUUUCCGACCUCUUUGUUCUUUACAGUGUGGCAUGCGCUGUCAGAUACGAAGAAUCCAAGAACAGAUGGCCUAUCGUGCUGGUCGGAUCUCCCGAAUCCGAAUGGAUUUGAGGCCUAGUGCUAUAUGUUUAGGAUGUAUUGGGCUGAAAGUCUAAUACGAAUCCUAAUUUGGCCUAUGGGGCCAUACCUGCAAAAAGGCCAUAGACGCUAUUUGCAAGCACGUGAAUCGUCCAUGUAGAAAUGAUCGAAUUUAUCCCCAAAAAACAUGAACAAACUUUUGAGAUAUAUUUUCUAGAUUAAAAAGUAAGUAGAUGGGGGUUCUUCAUUGACACAAAAAGAGAGAGAGAGAGAGAGAGAGAGAGAGAGAGAGGGAGGGAGAGAGAGAGAGAGAGAGAGAGAGAGAGAGAGAGAGAAAUGUGUUUUGAUGAAUAUAAGUAUGUAGAGAAGGGCCAUAUGCUCAUUACAUAACUUAUAUCAUGGAGAAAAUGGUAAAGUAUUGGAUAUUGGAGAAAAAACAGACGAUGAGGAAACAACUCCUCAAGCCUCAACUCUGUAGUAAAAAAUGCACACACCAACAUAGGUUAUGACUGUCUAUGUGUAAGCUGAAAACAACCUCCAUUUUCCAACUGAACUUUGAAAAUUACAAA
RNAcentral lists this long non-coding RNA (1203 nucleotides) under Eutrema salsugineum. RNAcentral's name for it is "long non-coding RNA (ESAL_LNC000744)". The record is from RNAcentral. Lineage: Eukaryota; Viridiplantae; Streptophyta; Magnoliopsida; Brassicales; Brassicaceae.